RNAcentral lists this long non-coding RNA (205 nucleotides) under Mytilus galloprovincialis (Mediterranean mussel). Lineage: Eukaryota; Metazoa; Mollusca; Bivalvia; Mytilida; Mytilidae. The record is from RNAcentral.
GCUAUAAUAGGCCCCAAUAAGACAAUGUAAAACAAUUCAAACGAGAAAACUAACGGCCUUAUUUAUGUAAAAAAAUGAACGAAAAACAAAUAUGUAACACAUAAACAAACGACAACCACUGAAUUACAGGCUCCUGACUUGGGACAGGCACAUACAUAAAUAAUGUGGCGGGGUUAAACAUGUUAGCGGGAUCCCAACCCUCCCC